Molecule: ribosomal RNA, 2903 nt
Filed under: Enterobacter hormaechei
Lineage: Bacteria; Pseudomonadati; Pseudomonadota; Gammaproteobacteria; Enterobacterales; Enterobacteriaceae
Description: 23S ribosomal RNA
Rfam family: Bacterial large subunit ribosomal RNA
Source: RNAcentral
UUAAGCGACUAAGCGUACACGGUGGAUGCCCUGGCAGUCAGAGGCGAUGAAGGACGUGCUAAUCUGCGAAAAGCGCCGGCGAGGUGAUAUGAACCUUUGACCCGGCGAUGUCCGAAUGGGGAAACCCAGUGUGUUCCGACACACUAUCGUUAACUGAAUACAUAGGUUAACGAGGCGAACCGGGGGAACUGAAACAUCUAAGUACCCCGAGGAAAAGAAAUCAACCGAGAUUCCCCCAGUAGCGGCGAGCGAACGGGGAGCAGCCCGGAGUCUGAAUCAGCUUGUGUGUUAGUGGAACGGUCUGGAAAGUCCGACGGUACAGGGUGAUAGUCCCGUACACGAAAAAACACAUGCUGUGAACUCGAAGAGUAGGGCGGGACACGUGGUAUCCUGUCUGAAUAUGGGGGGACCAUCCUCCAAGGCUAAAUACUCCUGACUGACCGAUAGUGAACCAGUACCGUGAGGGAAAGGCGAAAAGAACCCCGGCGAGGGGAGUGAAAAAGAACCUGAAACCGUGUACGUACAAGCAGUGGGAGCCACCUUCGGGUGUGACUGCGUACCUUUUGUAUAAUGGGUCAGCGACUUAUAUUCUGUAGCAAGGUUAACCGUAUAGGGGAGCCGAAGGGAAACCGAGUCUUAACUGGGCGUUAAGUUGCAGGGUAUAGACCCGAAACCCGGUGAUCUAGCCAUGGGCAGGUUGAAGGUUGGGUAACACUAACUGGAGGACCGAACCGACUAAUGUUGAAAAAUUAGCGGAUGACCUGUGGCUGGGGGUGAAAGGCCAAUCAAACCGGGAGAUAGCUGGUUCUCCCCGAAAGCUAUUUAGGUAGCGCCUCGUGAACUCAUCUUCGGGGGUAGAGCACUGUUUCGGCUAGGGGGCCAUCCCGGCUUACCAACCCGAUGCAAACUACGAAUACCGAAGAAUGUUAUCACGGGAGACACACGGCGGGUGCUAACGUCCGUCGUGAAGAGGGAAACAACCCAGACCGCCAGCUAAGGUCCCAAAGUCAUGGUUAAGUGGGAAACGAUGUGGGAAGGCACAGACAGCCAGGAUGUUGGCUUAGAAGCAGCCAUCAUUUAAAGAAAGCGUAAUAGCUCACUGGUCGAGUCGGCCUGCGCGGAAGAUGUAACGGGGCUAAACCAUGCACCGAAGCUGCGGCAGCGACGCUUAUGCGUUGUUGGGUAGGGGAGCGUUCUGUAAGCCGUUGAAGGUGUGCUGUGAGGCAUGCUGGAGGUAUCAGAAGUGCGAAUGCUGACAUAAGUAACGAUAAAGCGGGUGAAAAGCCCGCUCGCCGGAAGACCAAGGGUUCCUGUCCAACGUUAAUCGGGGCAGGGUGAGUCGACCCCUAAGGCGAGGCCGAAAGGCGUAGUCGAUGGGAAACAGGUUAAUAUUCCUGUACUUGGUGUUACUGCGAAGGGGGGACGGAGAAGGCUAUGUCAGCCGGGCGACGGUUGUCCCGGUUUAAGCAUGUAGGCGGAGGUUCCAGGUAAAUCCGGUACCUUGUUAACGCUGAGGUGUGAUGACGAGGCACUACGGUGCUGAAGUGAUAAAUGCCCUGCUUCCAGGAAAAGCCUCUAAGCAUCAGGUAACACGAAAUCGUACCCCAAACCGACACAGGUGGUCAGGUAGAGAAUACCAAGGCGCUUGAGAGAACUCGGGUGAAGGAACUAGGCAAAAUGGUGCCGUAACUUCGGGAGAAGGCACGCUGAUAUGUAGGUGAAGUCCCUGCGGACGGAGCUGAAAUCAGUCGAAGAUACCAGCUGGCUGCAACUGUUUAUUAAAAACACAGCACUGUGCAAACACGAAAGUGGACGUAUACGGUGUGACGCCUGCCCGGUGCCGGAAGGUUAAUUGAUGGGGUUAGCGGCAACGCGAAGCUCUUGAUCGAAGCCCCGGUAAACGGCGGCCGUAACUAUAACGGUCCUAAGGUAGCGAAAUUCCUUGUCGGGUAAGUUCCGACCUGCACGAAUGGCGUAAUGAUGGCCAGGCUGUCUCCACCCGAGACUCAGUGAAAUUGAACUCGCUGUGAAGAUGCAGUGUACCCGCGGCAAGACGGAAAGACCCCGUGAACCUUUACUAUAGCUUGACACUGAACACUGGUCCUUGAUGUGUAGGAUAGGUGGGAGGCUUUGAAGCGUGGACGCCAGUCUGCGUGGAGCCAUCCUUGAAAUACCACCCUUUAAUGGCUGGUGUUCUAACGUAGACCCGUAAUCCGGGUUGCGGACAGUGUCUGGUGGGUAGUUUGACUGGGGCGGUCUCCUCCCAAAGAGUAACGGAGGAGCACGAAGGUUGGCUAAUCCUGGUCGGACAUCAGGAGGUUAGUGCAAUGGCAUAAGCCAGCUUGACUGCGAGCGUGACGGCGCGAGCAGGUGCGAAAGCAGGUCAUAGUGAUCCGGUGGUUCUGAAUGGAAGGGCCAUCGCUCAACGGAUAAAAGGUACUCCGGGGAUAACAGGCUGAUACCGCCCAAGAGUUCAUAUCGACGGCGGUGUUUGGCACCUCGAUGUCGGCUCAUCACAUCCUGGGGCUGAAGUAGGUCCCAAGGGUAUGGCUGUUCGCCAUUUAAAGUGGUACGCGAGCUGGGUUUAGAACGUCGUGAGACAGUUCGGUCCCUAUCUGCCGUGGGCGCUGGAGAAUUGAGGGGGGCUGCUCCUAGUACGAGAGGACCGGAGUGGACGCAUCACUGGUGUUCGGGUUGUCAUGCCAAUGGCACUGCCCGGUAGCUAAAUGCGGAAGAGAUAAGUGCUGAAAGCAUCUAAGCACGAAACUUGCCCCGAGAUGAGUUCUCCCUGAGACCUUGAGUCUCCUGAAGGAACGUUGAAGACGACGACGUUGAUAGGUCGGGUGUGUAAGCGCAGCGAUGCGUUGAGCUAACCGAUACUAAUGAACCGUGAGGCUUAACCU